AAAUUAAAUAAUACAUUUAUUAAUGUUAGAAUAUGAUUGUUUUAUAUUUUAAUGGUGAAAAAAUCAAAAUUUUACAUGAUAUUUUUAGUAUAAAAUUUUAUAAGGAUUUCUUGAAAAAAUAAUGACAAAAUUGAUAGUUUUUCGUAACUUCAAAUGUUAUAACUUUUCCAAUUCUUAUCAAAAUGUAUACAAUUUGGUAUAAAAACAAAGAUAUGAAAAAGACAAGGCCCCUACAACACCCAGUAAUAUGUUACGAAUGUAUAUUUGUUAAUGAAGGUUUUGUGUUUUUUAUUGAAAUUUUGGAUUUUUAUUUGCAUAUUUUUUAUAUUCUAACAGACGAUCAUUAAAUAUGAUAGAUAAACAAGUAGAAAAGAAUAUAGUAAUACAUAAUACUCUCCUCAUAUGUAAUACUCUCCUUAAACGUAAAUCAAAUUGUUUAAACCGGAUAUGAUGAUUAAAUUCUAUUUUGCUUUUUCAAUUUGGUUGCCAGCUUCAACCUAAUUCUUUAUUUAGAACUAUGAUUUUGAACUAAAACAUUUCCGUGUUGAAUAAAAUACUAUUUAUUCUUAACUAUAUAUUUUUUGAGGCUUCAGUUAUCAAAUGCUGGUGGUAAUUUUAGUUAGUAAUUUUAGUGCCACUGUGAAAGCGUCGAUUGUUAAGCAGACAUAAAAAGUUUGAAGUAUGCACAAAGCCUGAAAGUGUCAAAUAUGGAACCUAAAAAAACCUGCCUUUGCCACUAACUGUAUUAAGGUUUUUUAAGGUCUGUUUGUCAAACGUCAAGUCAGGUUAUCUUGCUACUGGUACCAUGUAGUACAUCCUGAUUAAGCAGGGUGUACGCCAUCCAUACGACGUUUGGGCAUCUGUUUGUAAAAUAUUACUGCAAAUCUUUUUGAGAGAGCCAUUACUAUGGAGAACCAUCUAAACCAUACAAGUGUAGAAACAUGGAUAUUAAUGUGAAAUUAAAAAAAAAGUUUUUGUGAAAC
This is a long non-coding RNA of Hydra vulgaris (swiftwater hydra), 983 nucleotides long. RefSeq lists it as uncharacterized. The record is from RefSeq and is a predicted model, not a curated record. NCBI's taxonomy places the organism in Eukaryota, Metazoa, Cnidaria, Hydrozoa, Anthoathecata, Hydridae.